RNAcentral lists this ribosomal RNA (434 nucleotides) under uncultured bacterium. Its description in RNAcentral is "partial 16S ribosomal RNA". It matches the Rfam family "Bacterial small subunit ribosomal RNA", at positions 29 to 507 of the family's 1533-position model. The record is from RNAcentral.
AACGAACGCUGGCGGCAGGCCUAACACAUGCAAGUCGAGCGGACCCUUCGGGGUUAGCGGCGGACGGGUGAGUAACGCGUGGGAAUAUGCCCUUCUCUACGGAAUAGUCCUGGGAAACUGGGGGUAAUACCGUAUACGCCCUUUGGGGGGAAAGAUUUAUCGGGGAAGGUUUGGCCCGCGUUGGAUAAGGUAGUUGGUGGGGUAAUGGCCUACCAAGCCGACGAUCCAUAGCUGGUUUGAGAGGAUGAUCAGCCACACUGGGACUGAGACACGGCCCAGACUCCUACGGGAGGCAGCAGUGGGGAAUCUUAGACAAUGGGGGCAACCCUGAUCUAGCCAUGCCGCGUGAGUGAUGAAGGCCUUAGGGUUGUAAAGCUCUUUCAGCUGGGAAGAUAAUGACGGUACUAGCAGAAGAAGCCCCGGCUAACUCCGUG